CUUCUUAUUUCUGUUGAUAAAGCAUUGUUAGCGUAUAUGGUUCAGUAUUUAUUUACAUUUGAAAAUAUGGAUUUUCAUGAAUGUAAUAAACUGGUUUGUGAAUUCUGUAAAGUAAAAGGUUUUCUACCCCUCGUGGUAGCGUUUUUAAAAGAAUAAAGGUUUCUGUGCAGGAAACAGUUUUCAAAAGAUUUUUGUGGAAUUCUGUUUAAACCUUGAAUGUAAAACUGUGAUGUGAAUGGUGAAUGUAUGAAUGUAUAGUUAUCUUUAUAUUCAUUUGGUUGUGGUUGUAUGUAUAUCUAUACUCUGUUGUACUUGUGCGACGCCGUGCAAAUACAGGGGAGACUCUGUCCGUGUGAACAGUGGAUUCCCUGUGUUUGUGGCGGAUCUGGCACUCUGGGGUCAGGUUUUCAAAAAAAAAAAUUUUAUAGCUAAUUUUCCGCUGUGCUUUUGAACAAAAAGGGACCCCGGGGCGUGACAGAUUAAAGUGGUAUCAGAGAAGGGUUACAACCACAACACCAUUCACAGAUUGUUUUGAAAAGUAAAUGAACUGAACCAUUGGUUAGGUUGACCCUUAGAAAGACCUACGGUGUAUAGGCACGUGAGUGCGGGGUUUGGACUUGUGUCCAGGAUUGCAUUCGAGUCGGGUAAACUCGAAGUGCAUGGUUUCUGUAUGUGUUACGAUUCGCACAAGCUGGUGUCUAAGUCGGGAGUAGUGGCGGUGUACUUAUUCGGACAUCGUGUGGUAGAGCGACGUUCCCCAGGUGUUGCCACUCCUGUCAGUUGAGGCCUAGAAGGGCCAAGUGAGAUUUUCGGGCCUAGGCGAGUGUUAUGACUGCCGACGCCCCGGCCACUCUCUCUACUUAGGACACGAGAGCUACUGCGAAUGUCUCUACGGAGACGGUGCUUAGACCAGUCACGGUCGCGACUUCAGUGGUGCUACUAGGGUGUAGCCUAGGGUUUGGAUAGCGGUCGUUUCAGCGACUGCAUUGUUAGCGUUGCUUCUACAGACCUUUGGGUAGGGUUGCGAUGCCUACCUCUCCUUCUUGAUUGCUGAAUGGAAUCAGCGGUUCGAAUCUUUCGACCUUUACCUCGUUCAUUCUUCCUACUAGAGUCGGAUUGACACAGUUUGGUGUCAAGUUUUCGUUGAGGCAUACAUCGUAUGCGGUUAUUCUAACACCUAAAUUGGUGUUGUGGGUUAGUUGUAGUUGGUGAUAGGCCUCGUCUAGAUUCGAGAUAUUUCAUGGUCGUUAUGAUUUCGAAUGUCGACUUGUAAAGUCGAUGUUUCGACAGUAGUGGUUGUGAGCUCUUGGUUUAGUGAAGAGGUAUCAAAUGGCUUGAUACUUCGACGUGUUACACUUCCAACUCGUUGUUGGUAGUGGAUCUUCGGAUAUUUUGCUUUUCUUUUGAUAAGUAUAUUGGCUGCAGACAAUAUACUGUCGAAAGAGGGACGAAAUACCUUUUUUCCUGUUUGGGACUUCUGGAUUGGGUCGACGUGUUUUCUAGACUGUUUUGUGGGAAAAGCUCGAGUGAUAGUCAUCUCUGACCACGUAGCGAGCCUUGGGUUAUUCCUUAGCAGGUUUUGCACAGUGGACUUAUCGUCACUGAUAAAGGGGUUUUUGACUCUAGUUCGAGUCUGGGUGUUCGUAACUCUUUAGUUGUGCUUUCCACAGUUCAAAAGUUUGUUUGGUUAGUAGUCUUGGUUUGUCGUCUUGAGGUUCAGAAUCAGUGGAUGAGUGACUUGAGCCUGGUUGUUGGCUUUGAUUGUCACCAUAUGUGAUAGCGUACAAGGUUUGCGACUUGACUUCUCGUGCAAACCUUGGGUUAGCAUGCUUGUCCGGUCAUUUGAUGACAGGUGCGCCUGGGUCUCAAUGAGACAAGUAAUCGGGUGUUGCUGGGAACAUCGAUCGCUAGGGUCCAUGGCAGGACGACAGCGACAGGGUCUUGUAGAGACAGGUGUUGAGCAUCACCGAUGGUUAGUAUCGCUUUUGCGAUUGGCGACCUGUGCAUCAAGCGAUGGACUUGCAAAGAGCUUUCGGUGGUCUGUGGUAUCGGAUUAAGUUUGAGGAGACAAAAUUGUCUAGCGUAUUUGGUAUUGUCAGUUGGACCUUUUUGGUCAGGUAAAAAGUGAGGUCUUGGACCUAGGACUAUAGAUUGCCGUAAGUGACUAUCCACUGAUGGAGGUUUUGGCAGUUUGUGUGGUUACUGUUGGGAGACUGUGGUCUCCAAGGUGAGAGUUUUGACUCAGGUCUUAGAACAACGUUUCGUAUUCGCUCAUGGUGAGCAGGUUGACGUUGUUGGAUAGUCGGAGUUUUUCGUUUCAAGUCUACGUAAAUAGACUCUAGAUUAAAGUGGUGUUGACUUGAGUCUCUUCUACGUGAACCUUCGACGUAGUUGAGUCGGUUACUGGUGUGCGGACCAAGGUUGAGUAGACCUAGAAUUUCUAAGUGUUGAAAUGUUAUCUCAGAAACGGCAAAUUGGGAUCGAACAAUCCUAGUCGCGGGACUGUCUUUGUCCGCAGGUUAUAGGAUGAUAUUAAUACCGGUGAGCUUUGGUCCGUGGAUUUUGGGUUGGUACAUUUUCCCUCGAUUUGUCCAGGUGGAACCGCAGUCUUAUUUUUCCCCUUAUUCGAAGAUUGAUCUGUCCGCAUUCAUGAAAAUAUAAUUGACCAAUACUCAAGGGUGAUACCACAGUGGUGGAAGUAUUAUUCGAAUUCGAUUUCGGUGGGUAUGUGGUCAAGUUUCGGGGACGAAACUUCUUUUAAGGGGGGGAUAAUGUAAGGACUGAGAUUUUUACAGUGCAACUAAACUCUCUGUUGACAAUGUUUAUGUGUGUAAUUUAAUUACAUAAGCACUCGUCAAGUUUCAGGAGAAAAUGAGCUAAGGUGGAGAAGUUAUGAGACCCGGAAGUUUGACUUAAGUGAAUAGUAACUCCGGUUUUCCGGAGAAGCCACGAAGCAAACUCGGCCUCUGGCGCGUACAGACCUCCAAACAUAGGACUCCAAUAGCUCGUUUCGAACCUCUCGACUAUACUGGAACCACUGGCGCUGACAGAAUCGGAUUCUGAUGCACGGUUAUCGAGAAAAAGGAGUUUUAUCAAAAAGAGGGUUUUUGUUCUGUGCUAUUCGUGCAGUUUAAAGCUCCUCGUACUCUGUGCAUGUGACCUAGAGUUGAGUGGAGGACGUUUCUAGUACCUACUGGUGGUAGGAAGCCCAAAUUUGAAUUUGAAUUAAAGGUUUAGCGAGAUUACACAUUGGUAUAUGUUUGUGGUUUCUGAAAAUUGAGAGCGGACGGAUUUCGUCGUGAAUCGGGGGUCAAAUCGGAUGAAACGAAAUGCUAGAUUCGAUGCCCCCGACGUGCUGAACGCAAUGGUACUGUCGGAUCGAAAAUCCGACUGACGGAUCUCCGGAAAUUACGAGAAGUUCGCUGAGAGGUCGGCGAUGGCAAAACGGUAAUUUCGCAAAAGUCGCGAUAUUUUAUGUACCGUUUCGCGUGGAAUCGCACGUGGAGGGGUGUUCGCGUGUUUUACACGCGCUGUGAAGGACUUAGUAAUAAAUACUGAGGUUUGGUGGACUUAGUUGCAAAGUUGCACCUUAGUAUUUAUGGUAUCUAGGGUUUUCUAGCAUGAAACCCUAACCCUAGACCUAAGCCGCCCCCUAGCCACCUUCCCUUGUCACCCUGACCUGGCCGCGCACCUCCCGGCCGCCGCCGACCGUGCUCCGGCCGGCCACCGCCGCGGCAGCCACCUUUCUUCUUCACCUAUUCUCCAUCUCCCUCUCCAAACCUCUCUUUCUCUCGGGUUAGAGCCAGACCGAGGCUACUUUUCCAUCAAGACACCUUGCCGGCGUCGCCCCGUGUCUCGGCCACCUCCCGCCGACGCGAUCGCCGCCGCCCCGCCAGCCGCCAUCGCCGCCGCGCUGCUGCUUGCUGCCUCCCAGACCGAGCCCAGCCGAGCUGAGUGUGCGGCUUCAUCCUCAUCAGCAGCCGCCUGGGACUACUCCCGCGCCUUCCCCGGAAUCCCGGCAUCCCUCCCCGCCGGCCGCCGCCGCUCUGCGGUAGCGCCGCCGCCGCACGCCAUGGGCGCCGCGCCCAGGCCUGCAGACCGAGCCCAGCUCGAGCGGCAACGCCCGAGCCGCGGGCUGUCGCCGCCGUCACCCGCCGCCUCCUCCUCCCCCUCCGGCUCAGGGGACCCGCCGCCGACGUCCCGACCUCCUCCGGUCGCGCGCGUGGCUGCCGCUGCCUUUGGAGCCGCGAGGUGAACCGCGCGGGCUCGGGAUGCUCCAGCGCCGCCGCGGCCGCCUCUCGCCGCCGGCCGGCGUGAGCACCGGCUCCGCCUGGCCGGCCGCACCCGUCACCCGCCGGAGACACCGCCGCCAGGAGCUCGCCGCCGGAAUGGACCGUGCUCCCCACGGGUUUGGUGGCUAGGGCAUCAUUGACUUCGUCGCCGCCUCCUUCCGUCGCCUGCUGACGCAGCCCCGCCACCUCGGACCUUCCGCACCAACCCUGGCCGGCUUGCCGCCGUCCGCCGCCGCCGGCCACCCCGUGCCCUGCUAGCUCGCGUAAGCUUAGUUUAGCUUUCCUGCACUGUGAUUGCACUUUCCGGUCACCUUUUCGGUGAUCCGACGACUCCCCGACACCCCAGGAGGUGAGCACGGUGAUCCUGGGUUCGUGCCGAACACGAUGCUCACCUCUGCGAGGAUUAGGGAUGCCCGGUUAGCAGGUUUAGGUAGAUCUUCGCGCUGUGCGCGCUUAUUCGCUGAACUUCGCGCCGCUCGUGCGCUCCUACAGUAGCCGGAAUUGCUCCGAAAGGUGAGCGAGCCUCCAGCACAUCGAAACCUGUAAGUAGGUGUCUUAGCUCGACGAUUGACCUCUGUUUUGCAUAGACGGACCAUAAAAGCCGGAAAAACACAUGAAAUAAUGUGAUUUCUUGGAAUCGGAUGGCUUUUAUGCAAUUUGACUUGUCGUGGCUGCUGUUGCAGCAUGGGUGAGCUGUGGGUGACCUCUGGACUGAUUGUCCAAGGCCCAGACCUUUGAGAAGAUCGGAAAUGUAUUUUCGGUGCGUUGUCGGCAAAAUCCGCCGACGGAACGCGUUUUGGUUCGGAAUUAUUCCGACAGUGCUUCGUGAGCUAUUGUGUAGUCGCUGAGCCUUGUUGGCUGGUCACCAUCAUCACAUUGUGGGUUCGGUGAUGAUGGUGAGCGACGGUGGGUUCCGGUGUCGAAAUAGACACUUCCGGGAACCGGAUUCGUACAACUAUCCGGUGAUAGUUGUGUAGUGUUGUGAUCUUGUGUUUACUGCAAAACAUCCAAAUUGGAGUGUUUUGGGGCAGCAGGUGACUCGUGACAUGAGUCGGUGAGUUUCGGGACACUUAGUGGGUCCCGACGGCGUCCCGGUGUGGUUUUCGGACUUCCGGCGAGUUACGAUAAUCGGUAUUGGGAAACCGAUCUCCGUGGGAUAGUUGUGGGUUAUGCUUUUAGGUUUCUUAGUUGUGGGUUAGACACUAACCCAGUGGACCCUCCUUAGGUCCGGUUGACGUUCUUUUGCAGUCAGGAGACAGACGCGACAGUUGUACAGGUGGUACUUCGAUCCGACGUCGGUACAGUGGUGCACGCUCGGUGAUAUCUUUCAUCCCUGUUCUCCUGUUAUUACUAUUGCUUAGUGUAGCUUAUUGAGCCUUGCACCUCUAUCGUCUACAUCUUACUCUACUCGUUGUUUGCAUGAUUAGUAUCCUGUGUAGGAGUAGAGUAGUUAUACCAUAUUUUCUUGUUGCUUCUACUUGCCUGUUCUUCAUAUCUUAUAUCAUGUUAUAGUAGAGCGGUUCCGUGACCAUCUGUGAAAUUAAUGACCUAGUCGGUUCGAUUCUAGUAUCUGUAAUCGUGAUCUACUCGAUCGGUUCCUUGAUUCCUGUUGUUCGAUGACCCUUGAGGUCGGUAUACCCUGAGAGGUGGGAUGGUCGGCUAGUUGUCGACGGAUGAUUAUAGUCUUACAGAUCCGUCAUUUGACCCUUGUGACCUAGUCUGUCCGUUCUGGAUUCUUGUCGUUUGAUGACCUUUGAGGUCGUGUACCUGCGGGGUAGAUUGUCGGCUAGUGGCCGACGUAGUUCUAUAUUAUAUACUCAGUUGACUUAUUGAUCAGUAUCUUCAUACUUUUGGUAGGAUGUUGAGUUGUUCCAUCCAGUGACUUGAUUAGUCAUACUUGCAUACAGUUGAAGGAUGUAGAGUCGUUCCAUCCUAUUUGACCUGAGUGGUCGGUUCUUGUGCUUCUUUACAGUCGAUGACCUAUACGGUCGGUGAGCCCUGUGGGCAGAUUGUCGGCUGGUUCGCGAUGUUAGUCUUUGAGCAUAUCAGCAUCGAUUGCCCGACUCAUUAGCAUUUCACGACACUGGCGUCUGAUCCACCGCAAGGUGGUUUCUUUCGGAAAAGUUUGCUUGUGUCGACCCGUGAGCCCAGCGGUCAGGACUGGGUUAUAUGCGGUAGAGUGUUAGUGGGCUUUUGCCUGAGGUCCUUAACGCGACACGGCGGUUUAGAUUGGUAUUUUGGACUUCUUGUUCGGUUGACGCAUACGUCUAUAGUAGCAGUUGUUUCAUGCAUACUUACAGUUCUUUCUUUAUACUUGUCUUGCUACUAUAGUUUGAUACCCAGGUAUGGUUUAUAUUCUUCUUUACAGUAGCGGUAGUCGUUCUUAUACAUUCUGUUCAUAUAUCAUUGUUGCUACUGUACUUAGUAUAUCUGUUCCAUUACCUUGUACAUAUCUUUCGUUUACUAUUGUUCCUACUGUACCCCACUGACGUCGUUUUGUUGUAUGUUCUUCCUGAUCCGUGUGAGUACUCCUCGCCUUCUUGCGCUUGCGGUACCCACUGGAGGGGAGACUGUUUACAUGUUCUCACCUCCCCACCAUUUUCAGGUAUCGCGGGCGGUGUGGGUUGAGACGAGACGUGAGACACGUACGUAGCGAUCGAUAGAUCUUCCGACCCAGGUUGUUCGGUUUAGCUCUUACCCUUCUUAUUUCUGUUGAUAAGCAUUGUUAGCGUAUAUGGUUCAGUAUUUAUUACAUUUGAAAAUAUGGAUUUUCAUGAAUGUAAUAAACUGGUUUGUGAAUUCUGUAAAGUAAAAGGUUUCUACCCUCGUGGUAGCGUUUUUAAAAGAAUAAAGGUUUCUGUCGCAGGAAACAGUUUUCAAAAGAUUUUGUGGAAUUCUGUUUAAACCUUGAAUGUAAAACUGUGAU
RNAcentral lists this long non-coding RNA (7218 nucleotides) under Ananas comosus (pineapple). RNAcentral describes it as "long non-coding RNA (ACOM_LNC022293)". The record is from RNAcentral. Lineage: Eukaryota; Viridiplantae; Streptophyta; Magnoliopsida; Poales; Bromeliaceae.